CCAAUACAUUAGCAGCAGAUCUUUUAAGUCCUGCAAGUUGUGAGGUUGGGCUUCCAGCCUGUUGUUCCAGCACAUCCCAUAGAUGCUCAGUUGGAUUGAAAUCUGAUAAUUUGGAGGCCAAGACAACACCUUGAUCUCUUUGUCAUGUUCCUCAGAUCAUUCCUGAAAACGUUUUGCAGUGUGGCAGGGUGUAUUAUCCUGCUGAAAUAGACCAGUGCUCUCCAAGAACACCACUGCCAUGAAG
Molecule: non-coding RNA, 244 nt
Organism: Pelobates cultripes (western spadefoot toad)
Lineage: Eukaryota; Metazoa; Chordata; Amphibia; Anura; Pelobatidae
Source: the annotation of a GenBank genome assembly